AUGGGUUUUGGAGGAGAAGGACUAGGCAUUUUUGUGGCAGAUCAUGCAAAGGAGUUACCUGGGAAUAAUAAAAAUAAUGCAGUAGCUUUGGUCAGGCUCAGAGAUGGCUGUGAUUUGGAAAUUGAUUCAGAUGAUCUUAUCAAAAGCUUGGCAAAAACUUACCCCUGGAGGUGGGAUUGGAAAGCAAAGAAAGUGUCUGAUGGAGUUUUCCUGGUAAAUUUCCCAUCUGUUGCAAGGAUCAAUGAGGCUGCCAUUUAUGACUGGGUCCCUCUGAAAGGUGGAAACAUAAUGGUCAAAGUGAAAGUAUGGAAUGAUAAUAUUAUGGCUAUUGGUAAACUAGCAUUGAUAUGGGUCAGAGCUAAGGGGGUACCAAAAACAAUGAAAAAUUAUCAGGGGCUUUGUGAGAUUGGAUCAAUGAUUGGAUAUGUACAAACUGUUGACAUGGAUCUGGUAAACAAAAGUGGUCUUGUCAGGCUGAAGAUUGUUGUGGUGGAUCACACCAAAAUCCCCAGAUGGAAUAAGCUGACAACUCCAAAUCUCAUGGUUUACAGAAUUUUCUUUGAGGUGGAAGAGGUUUUAGAUGAAGUAUGGACCAAACUAGAAGAUGAAGUAUCACAAGGAUAUGAGGAGUGGAUGGAUUUCCAACAUGAGGAGGAUGAAAAUAGAGAGGCAAAGAAAGCAAAAAAAAGAUGCAAAUGUGGCAAUCUGUGCAAGUACUAG
This 720-nucleotide ribosomal RNA is filed under the name Triticum aestivum (bread wheat). RNAcentral describes it as "partial small subunit ribosomal RNA". The record is from RNAcentral. Lineage: Eukaryota; Viridiplantae; Streptophyta; Magnoliopsida; Poales; Poaceae.